This 1326-nucleotide ribosomal RNA is filed under the name Triticum aestivum (bread wheat). RNAcentral describes it as "partial small subunit ribosomal RNA". Lineage: Eukaryota; Viridiplantae; Streptophyta; Magnoliopsida; Poales; Poaceae. The record is from RNAcentral.
AUGAAACUACAAGUUGAGGAGUUUGUCAAGCAGUGCAGUGUCUGUCAGCAAGCGAAACACGAACAUGCACAUCCGUCGGGCACAUUACAACCCUUGCCGAUACCUGUUCGAGCCUGGGGCGAAGUAACGAUGGAUUUUAUUGAAGGGUUGCCGCGUUCAGAAGGGGCUGAUGUGAUUCUGGUGGUAGUGGAUCGAUUAACUAAAUAUUCACACUUCAUUCCACUCCAUCACCCAUUCACAGCUCUUCAGGUUGCUCGUGCAUUCCUUGACAACAUUGUCAAAUUGCAUGGUGUUCCAGAAUCAAUCGUUUCUGACCGGGAUAAGAUCUUCACGAGUGCAUUUUGGAGGGAACUAUUUGCGCUCGUCGGCACCAAGCUUCUUUACACUACCGCCUACCAUCCACAGACGGAUGGCCAGAGCGAAAGGGUGAAUCAAUGUCUUGAGCAUUAUCUACGUUGUGCUGUUCACGACACACCGUGUCGGUGGAAAAGAUGGUUACCAAUGGCAGAAUUCUGGUACAACUCGAGUCAUCACAGUGCGAUCGGGUGCUCGCCGUUCAAAGCCUUAUAUGGAGUGGAUCCGAACUUUGGUGCCCUGCCUAAUCUAUUCAACACAACGACUCCGGCAUCACUGCAUGAGCUGGCCGCAGAGCACCAACAGUUCACUGAAAUGCUAAAAGAACACCUACUGCAUGCACAACACAGAAUGAAACAUCAGGCUGAUCGCAAACGCACAGAGAGGGAGUUCAGUGUUGGUGAUCAAGUGCUACUCAAACUUCAACCGUAUGUGCAAUCCUCGGUGGUCAACCGGCCUUGUCCCAAACUGGCAUACAAAUUCUAUGGCCCGUACAAAGUCACCAGCCGCAUUGGCACUGUUGCGUACAAGUUGGAGCUGCCCCAGGAGAGUAAAAUUCACCCAGUUUUUCAUGUUUCGCAGCUUAAACCCUUCACGGCGGACUACUCGCCAGUCUUCAAUCAACUUCCCGCUCCACCGGACCUCACUGUCGGCGAUCUGGUUCCUCAGGCAAUUCUAGAGCGCCGCCUCGUCAAGCAAGGGAACGCGGCAAUUCCUCAAGUCCUGGUGCACUGGCGCACGCUUUCGCCGGCCAGUGCAACCUGGGAGAACUACCAUGUGCUUCAACAGCGAUUUCCGGGCGUCGACCUCGGCAAUGGCGCUUCGACUCAAGGAGGGGACAAUGUCACACCCUACUCUCCACCCGAUCAGGCAGGAGAGCAUGCGGACAGCAAGGCACCAGAGGUGCAGCCGCGUGAGGAGGAAGAUCAGGGCCCACGGGCAGAGAGCAUGGAAAAGUCCUUGGUAGGUUAG